UACGUAGGGUGCAAGCGUUGUCCGGAAUUAUUGGGCGUAAAGAGCUCGUAGGCGGUCUGUCGCGUCUGCUGUGAAAACUCAGGGCUUAACCCUGAGCUUGCAGUGGGUACGGGCAGACUAGAGUGCGGUAGGGGAGACUGGAAUUCCUGGUGUAGCGGUGAAAUGCGCAGAUAUCAGGAGGAACACCGGUGGCGAAGGCGGGUCUCUGGGCCGUAACUGACACUGAGGGACGAAAGCUAGGGGAGCGAAUGGG
RNAcentral lists this ribosomal RNA (253 nucleotides) under uncultured bacterium. Its description in RNAcentral is "partial 16S ribosomal RNA". It matches the Rfam family "Bacterial small subunit ribosomal RNA", at positions 524 to 776 of the family's 1533-position model. The record is from RNAcentral.